AUGAAGGUGGUUCGCCAAGAGGUUCCUGGACCCUGUGACUACGUGUUCGUGUGGGACGAGGACCUUGGUGUCGACAACUUCGCCGGAACCACUGAUUGGGAAGGCGGAUACUCCCCUCUCACCCUUCAUUUCAGUGAGGAUUACCCCAGCAAGCCUCCCAAGUGCAAGUUCCCUACGAAUUUCUUCCACCCAAAUGUCUAUCCUUCAGGAACAGUCUGCCUUUCAAUCCUCAAUGAGGACAGCUCGACCCGGUGUCCUGCAGUGUUGACUUCCGUCCCACCUUUUGCUGAGGCUGGACAGCAACAAUGCGCUGCACAAAUUCACCGACACGGCAAAUAUGCACACUACACAGCCUCCUCCACUUCUGAUAAACUUCGAGGACAAUUUCAACCAACAACUAACCAGAUCGAAGUACUCAAAGUAAGGAACGAGCUCACCAAGUUUGGGGUCGAUCCAAGCACGUUUGAGCCUCCAACCAGCAGCUUGAACACUGUCUAG
RNAcentral lists this ribosomal RNA (498 nucleotides) under Triticum aestivum (bread wheat). Its description in RNAcentral is "partial small subunit ribosomal RNA". Lineage: Eukaryota; Viridiplantae; Streptophyta; Magnoliopsida; Poales; Poaceae. The record is from RNAcentral.